RNAcentral lists this ribosomal RNA (254 nucleotides) under uncultured bacterium. RNAcentral's name for it is "partial 16S ribosomal RNA". It matches the Rfam family "Bacterial small subunit ribosomal RNA", at positions 524 to 776 of the family's 1533-position model. The record is from RNAcentral.
UACGUAGGGUGCGAGCGUUGUCCGGAUUUAUUGGGCGUAAAGGGCUCGUAGGCGGCGUGUCGCGUCGGGAGUGAAAGCCCGCUGCUUAACGGCGGGUUGGCUUUCGGUACGGGCAUCGCUGGAGUGCGGCAGGGGAGACUGGAAUUCCUGGUGUAGCGGUGAAAUGCGCAGAUAUCAGGAGGAACACCGGUGGCGAAGGCGGGACUCUGGGCCGAUACUGACGCUGAGGAGCGAAAGCUAGGGGAGCAAACAGG